This 267-nucleotide long non-coding RNA is filed under the name Prunus persica (peach). RNAcentral describes it as "long non-coding RNA (PPER_LNC005458)". The record is from RNAcentral. Lineage: Eukaryota; Viridiplantae; Streptophyta; Magnoliopsida; Rosales; Rosaceae.
UUUCUGUUGUCGGUUUGGACGCUUCAAAUGGCUGUAUCAACGACAAUUGUCCUACUAUCGACCAUGCAUCGCAAUCUGCUCCUGGCUCACCUGGUCACCUGAGCAGAGCCAGUGACUCCGGAGGCGGUGAACAUUCUGCUGGUGGCGCGGAUGAUUGGAUAUUAGUUGAUACUAGGUGUGAUCAUAUACCAUUUUCAAAAGUGCCUGAUGAGGGUGUGAUGGGUCACUCAAUUGGGUAUGAGUCAGUGAAUGUAAGUCGGAUACAUG